AUUGAACGCUGGCGGCAUGCCUUACACAUGCAAGUCGAACGGCAGCACGGGUGCUUGCACCUGGUGGCGAGUGGCGAACGGGUGAGUAAUACAUCGGAACGUACCUUAUCGUGGGGGAUAACGCAGCGAAAGUUGCGCUAAUACCGCAUAAGCCCUGAGGGGGAAAGCGGGGGACCGUAAGGCCUCGCGCGAUUAGAGCGGCCGAUGUCUGAUUAGCUUGUUGGUGAGGUAAAAGCUCACAAAGGCGAUGAUCGGUAGCUGGUCUGAGAGGACGAUCAGCCACAAGGGAACUGGGACACGGCCCAGACUCCUACGGGAGGCAGCAGUGGGGAAUUUUGGACAAUGGGGGCAACCCUGAUCCAGCAAUGCCGCGUGAGUGAAGAAGGCCUUCGGGUUGUAAAGCUCUUUUGUCAGGGAAGAAACAGCAGCUCUAACACAGUCUGCGAAUGACGGUACCUGAAGAAUAAGCACCGGCUAACUACGUGCCAGCAGCCGCCGUAA
This 501-nucleotide ribosomal RNA is filed under the name uncultured bacterium. RNAcentral's name for it is "partial 16S ribosomal RNA". It matches the Rfam family "Bacterial small subunit ribosomal RNA", at positions 30 to 523 of the family's 1533-position model. The record is from RNAcentral.